RNAcentral lists this ribosomal RNA (396 nucleotides) under uncultured Acidobacteriota bacterium. RNAcentral's name for it is "bacterial SSU rRNA". It matches the Rfam family "Bacterial small subunit ribosomal RNA", at positions 151 to 524 of the family's 1533-position model. Lineage: Bacteria; Pseudomonadati; Acidobacteriota. The record is from RNAcentral.
GCGGCUGCUGGGCUAAUACCGAAUGAAAUUGCAGCCUCUCGGGGUUUGCAAUCAAAGGUGGCCUCUGCAUGCAAGCUACCGCUCGAGGAGGGGUUCACCUUCCAUUAGCUAGUUGGUGAGGUAACGGCCCACCAAGGCGACGAUGGAUAGCCGGCCUGAGAGGGUGAUCGGCCACACUGGAACUGAGACACGGUCCAGACUCCUACGGGAGGCAGCAGUGGGGAAUUUUGCGCAAUGGACGAAAGUCUGACGCAGCAACGCCGCGUGGGUGAUGAAGGCCUUUGGGUCGUAAAACCCUGUCGAGAGGGAAGAAAGUCGUCGCGGCUAACACCUGCGACAACUGACUGUACCUCUGGAGGAAGCCCCGGCUAACUCCGUGCCAGCAGCCGCGGUAAU